This 492-nucleotide ribosomal RNA is filed under the name uncultured bacterium. Its description in RNAcentral is "partial 16S ribosomal RNA". It matches the Rfam family "Bacterial small subunit ribosomal RNA", at positions 29 to 507 of the family's 1533-position model. The record is from RNAcentral.
AGUGAACGCUGGCGGUAGGCCUAACACAUGCAGGUCGAACGGCAGCACAGUAAGAGCUUGCUCUUACGGGUGGCGAGUGGCGGACGGGUGAGGAAUACAUCGGAAUCUACUUUUUCGUGGGGGAUAACGUAGGGAAACUUACGCUAAUACCGCAUACGACCUACGGGUGAAAGCAGGGGAUCUUCGGACCUUGCGCGAUUGAAUGAGCCGAUGUCGGAUUAGCUAGUUGGCGGGGUAAAGGCCCACCAAGGCGACGAUCCGUCGCUGGUCUGAGAGGAUGAUCAGCCACACUGGAACUGAGACACGGUCCAGACUCCUACGGGAGGCAGCAGUGGGGAAUAUUGGACAAUGGGCGCAAGCCUGAUCCAGCCAUACCGCGUGGGUGAAGAAGGCCUUCGGGUUGUAAAGCCCUUUUGUUGGGAAAGAAAAGCAGCAGGUUAAUACCCCGCUGUUCUGACGGUACCCAAAGAAUAAGCACCGGCUAACUUCGUG